GAUGAACGCUAGCUACAGGCUUAACACAUGCAAGUCGUGGGGCAUCAUGAUGUAGUAAUACAUUGAUGGCGACCGGCGCACGGGUGAGUAACGCGUAUCCAACCUACCCUCCACUCAAGUAUAGGCUUCCGAAAGGGAGAUUAAUCCUUGAUAUCGUCAUUCUCUCUCCUGUUAGAAUGAUAAAAGGACAUCGUUUCGGUAGAGGAUGGGGAUGCGUUCCAUUAGGUAGUAGGUGGUUUAACAGGCCACCUAGCCGAUGAUGGAUAGGGGUUCUGAGAGGAAUAUCCCCCACACUGGUACUGAGAUACGGACCAGACUCCUACGGGAGGCAGCAGUGAGGAAUAUUGGUCAAUGGGCGCAAGCCUGAACCAGCCAUGUAGCGUGAAGGAUGACGGUUUUUUUGAUUGUAAACUUCUUUUCUGUGCGAUUAAAGUGUGGCAUUUAUGCCAUAUGGCAGUAUCUCAGGAAUAA
RNAcentral lists this ribosomal RNA (471 nucleotides) under Bacteroidetes bacterium oral taxon 272. RNAcentral's name for it is "bacterial SSU rRNA". It matches the Rfam family "Bacterial small subunit ribosomal RNA", at positions 28 to 489 of the family's 1533-position model. The record is from RNAcentral. Lineage: Bacteria; Pseudomonadati; Bacteroidota.